Molecule: long non-coding RNA, 2139 nt
Organism: Oncorhynchus keta (chum salmon)
Lineage: Eukaryota; Metazoa; Chordata; Actinopteri; Salmoniformes; Salmonidae
Exons: 4
Source: RefSeq, a predicted model, not a curated record
UCAGGUCUCCCAGGAGAGAAGGGGGAGAGGGGGAGUCAAGGUGUGGGGACACAGGGCCCCAGAGGUCCCCCAGGACCACCAGGUCUUCUAGGAGAGGGGCGUACAGGCAGCCAAGGCCCCGCCGGUAGACCAGGCAACCAGGGUACCCCAGGGCGACCAGGCACCCCUGGAUCCACGGGCCCUGCUGGUGCUGCUGGCUACUGCGACCAGAACUCCUGUUUGGGCUACAACGUUGGAGAUGCUACCCCGGGCAACAAGCUAACAACCCCAGACAACAAGCUAACAACCCCGGGCAACAAGCUAACAACCCCGGGCAACAAGCUAACAACCCCAGACAACAAGCUAACAACCCGACAACAAGCUAACAACCCCAGGCAACAAGCUAACAACCCCGGGCAACAAGCUAACAACCCCGGGCAACAAGCUAACUUAGCGGUGGUGGUUUAGAAAGAGGUUGCUAGUGAUGACACCCCAUUGAUCCAGAUGUUCCCCACCAUAGUACAACAACUCCCCCACACCAACUACCAAAACUAUCACCCCACUGCCCGUUUUGACCCCCGUGGAAAUUACAACAACGAUGAUGAAGACGAUGAGGAAGAUGAGGAGGAAGAGGACCCGUUCGCUGGGUAUAGAGGCUACCCACCUCAGUACUACCAGCCCAGUUACCCUCACCCCCCUGCACCCCAAUCCCACUCCCAGGACACUGAGCUAAGGUCCCCAGGGAUAAUGAUGAGCCGUUUCUCCAGAGACGUGGUCACACAGAGAAGAGACACCGCUAAUACAGCCCAGACAGGACAGACAGACCAGACUGGACAGAGGAGUGAAGCUGCAGCAGAUACUGAAGGAGAGGUGGAGGUGAUUGGAGAAGUCCAGACAGGACAGACUGGACAGAGGAGCGAAGCUGCAGCAGAUACUGAAGGAGAGGUGGAGGUGAUUGGAGAAGUCCAGACAGGACAGACUGGACAGAGGAGCGAAGCUGCAGCAGAUACUGAAGGAGAGGUGGAGGUGAUUGGAGAAGUCCAGACAGGACAGACAGUCCAACCACCUCUCUAUGUCCCUGUGGGUUGAUGAAGAUGUCAAAAAUAUGUUCGGUAUGCGUCAGUUGCCCCCGUGUCGCUAGCCAGGGUCUCCUGUAUGCUAUUCCUGUAUGAGAGCGCUGUCAGAUUAGGAUAUACCCGAAAAGUGCCUGAUUUCUGUAAAUGCUGGUGUGUGGGAUGUAGGGGGACUGAGGAAGACAAACUAUCCCCAGUGACGUACAUUAAAAUCACUUACCUUUCUAGUGAAGUUGCAUGCAGCCUUUCAGCCAGCGCAUCAAGGAUGACUGGACUGUGUCUUUGGGUUGAUGUGUCAUAAAGUCAAACGUCUUUUUGUAAUUUGAGAUGAUGAACGGAUGACAUUUGAACAGUCUGUCAGCUCUUUAUAACCAGGUGUCAUUUACAUUAUAGUGCUUCCAUGUUGACUUUACCCUCCAUCUUUAAGUUGUCAAGCCAGUUCUCACAAUGAUUUUUCACUAUUUGUGUACAGUGUCCUCUCUUCUUGAUUUAAUAUGAUACAUUGUGACCUCUGUUGAAGCAGCCCCCCCCCCCCUCUGUUAUUGUACGAUGAGGAAUGUGUUUUUUUAAAGUUUGCCUAAACAUUAAGGAACCAAACUUUAACCACUGUCCUAUCAAAGAAAACUACAGCUAUUGUAAGACUUGUCAAGCGUUCUUGUCCAAUCGUACCGUUAUCACAUUGUUCAUUGACAUGGACUUGGUCUUGUCCGACUGGCUGUUAGUUUCUCUUACUCUCGUCACAGGCAACGACAGAGAAGGUGCUGGAAUGACUUGUGAUGAGCUCCUCAAAUCUGAAGUUUAAUGUUUUCCUUAUUGCCUUUCCCAAUUUGUUGUUGUUGUUGUUGUUGUUAUUAUGAUGAUUAUGCAACGUGGUGCCCGUCCACUGUGAGGAGAGUGUUGAAUAUAGUUAGGCCUGUGGUCUAAUUUGUGUUUUUGGACAGAAAUGGAAUUCCGAUUGUAGAACUAACAGGUACCAGUGAAAUGUCUCAUCAGACCACGCCACCAAACCUUUGAAACUGAUUUAGGAAGUUAUUUAUUUAUACUUUAUUAUUUGUUUUAUAACCAAUAAAACUGUAAUUCAACAGUG